Molecule: unclassified non-coding RNA, 329 nt
Filed under: soil metagenome
Description: partial contains 5.8S ribosomal RNA, internal transcribed spacer 2, and large subunit ribosomal RNA
Rfam family: 5.8S ribosomal RNA (bases 1-120)
Source: RNAcentral
GAUGAAGAACGCAGCGAAAUGCGAUAAGUAAUGUGAAUUGCAGAAUUCAGUGAAUCAUCGAAUCUUUGAACGCACAUUGCGCCCCUUAGUAUCCCGAGGGGCAUGCCUGUUCGAGCGUCAUUUCACCACUCAAGCCUGGCUUGGUGUUGGGCGACGUCCCCUUUAGGGACGCGCCUCGAAACGCUCGGCGGCGUGGCACCGGCUUUAAGCGUAGCAGAAUCUUUCGCUUUGGAAGUCGGGGCCCCGCCUGCCGGAAUACCUACUCGUAAGGUUGACCUCGGAUCAGGCAGGGAUACCCGCUGAACUUAAGCAUAUCAAUAAGCGGAGGA